GGUUAAGCGACUAAGCGUACACGGUGGAUGCCCUGGCAGUCAGAGGCGAUGAAGGACGUGCUAAUCUGCGAUAAGCGUCGGUAAGGUGAUAUGAACCGUUAUAACCGGCGAUUUCCGAAUGGGGAAACCCAGUGUGUUUCGACACACUAUCAUUAACUGAAUCCAUAGGUUAAUGAGGCGAACCGGGGGAACUGAAACAUCUAAGUACCCCGAGGAAAAGAAAUCAACCGAGAUUCCCCCAGUAGCGGCGAGCGAACGGGGAGGAGCCCAGAGUCUGAAUCAGUGUGUGUGUUAGUGGAAGCGUCUGGAAAGGCGCGCGAUACAGGGUGACAGCCCCGUACACAAAAAUGCACAUACUGUGAGCUCGAUGAGUAGGGCGGGACACGUGGUAUCCUGUCUGAAUAUGGGGGGACCAUCCUCCAAGGCUAAAUACUCCUGACUGACCGAUAGUGAACCAGUACCGUGAGGGAAAGGCGAAAAGAACCCCGGCGAGGGGAGUGAAAAAGAACCUGAAACCGUGUACGUACAAGCAGUGGGAGCCUCUUUUAUGGGGUGACUGCGUACCUUUUGUAUAAUGGGUCAGCGACUUAUAUUCUGUAGCAAGGUUAACCGAAUAGGGGAGCCGAAGGGAAACCGAGUCUUAACUGGGCGUUAAGUUGCAGGGUAUAGACCCGAAACCCGGUGAUCUAGCCAUGGGCAGGUUGAAGGUUGGGUAACACUAACUGGAGGACCGAACCGACUAAUGUUGAAAAAUUAGCGGAUGACUUGUGGCUGGGGGUGAAAGGCCAAUCAAACCGGGAGAUAGCUGGUUCUCCCCGAAAGCUAUUUAGGUAGCGCCUCGUGAAUUCAUCUCCGGGGGUAGAGCACUGUUUCGGCAAGGGGGUCAUCCCGACUUACCAACCCGAUGCAAACUGCGAAUACCGGAGAAUGUUAUCACGGGAGACACACGGCGGGUGCUAACGUCCGUCGUGAAGAGGGAAACAACCCAGACCGCCAGCUAAGGUCCCAAAGUCAUGGUUAAGUGGGAAACGAUGUGGGAAGGCCCAGACAGCCAGGAUGUUGGCUUAGAAGCAGCCAUCAUUUAAAGAAAGCGUAAUAGCUCACUGGUCGAGUCGGCCUGCGCGGAAGAUGUAACGGGGCUAAACCAUGCACCGAAGCUGCGGCAGCGACGCUUAUGCGUUGUUGGGUAGGGGAGCGUUCUGUAAGCCUGCGAAGGUGUGCUGUGAGGCAUGCUGGAGGUAUCAGAAGUGCGAAUGCUGACAUAAGUAACGAUAAAGCGGGUGAAAAGCCCGCUCGCCGGAAGACCAAGGGUUCCUGUCCAACGUUAAUCGGGGCAGGGUGAGUCGACCCCUAAGGCGAGGCCGAAAGGCGUAGUCGAUGGGAAACAGGUUAAUAUUCCUGUACUUGGUGUUACUGCGAAGGGGGGACGGAGAAGGCUAUGUUGGCCGGGCGACGGUUGUCCCGGUUUAAGCGUGUAGGCUGGUUUUCCAGGCAAAUCCGGAAAAUCAAGGCUGAGGCGUGAUGACGAGGCACUACGGUGCUGAAGCAACAAAUGCCAUGCUUCCAGGAAAAGCCUCUAAGCAUCAGGUAACAUCAAAUCGUACCCCAAACCGACACAGGUGGUCAGGUAGAGAAUACCAAGGCGCUUGAGAGAACUCGGGUGAAGGAACUAGGCAAAAUGGUGCCGUAACUUCGGGAGAAGGCACGCUGAUAUGUAGGUGAAGCGACUUGCUCGUGGAGCUGAAAUCAGUCGAAGAUACCAGCUGGCUGCAACUGUUUAUUAAAAACACAGCACUGUGCAAACACGAAAGUGGACGUAUACGGUGUGACGCCUGCCCGGUGCCGGAAGGUUAAUUGAUGGGGUCAGCGCAAGCGAAGCUCUUGAUCGAAGCCCCGGUAAACGGCGGCCGUAACUAUAACGGUCCUAAGGUAGCGAAAUUCCUUGUCGGGUAAGUUCCGACCUGCACGAAUGGCGUAAUGAUGGCCAGGCUGUCUCCACCCGAGACUCAGUGAAAUUGAACUCGCUGUGAAGAUGCAGUGUACCCGCGGCAAGACGGAAAGACCCCGUGAACCUUUACUAUAGCUUGACACUGAACAUUGAGCCUUGAUGUGUAGGAUAGGUGGGAGGCUUAGAAGUGUGGACGCCAGUCUGCAUGGAGCCGACCUUGAAAUACCACCCUUUAAUGUUUGAUGUUCUAACGUUGACCCGUAAUCCGGGUUGCGGACAGUGUCUGGUGGGUAGUUUGACUGGGGCGGUCUCCUCCUAAAGAGUAACGGAGGAGCACGAAGGUUGGCUAAUCCUGGUCGGACAUCAGGAGGUUAGUGCAAUGGCAUAAGCCAGCUUGACUGCGAGCGUGACGGCGCGAGCAGGUGCGAAAGCAGGUCAUAGUGAUCCGGUGGUUCUGAAUGGAAGGGCCAUCGCUCAACGGAUAAAAGGUACUCCGGGGAUAACAGGCUGAUACCGCCCAAGAGUUCAUAUCGACGGCGGUGUUUGGCACCUCGAUGUCGGCUCAUCACAUCCUGGGGCUGAAGUAGGUCCCAAGGGUAUGGCUGUUCGCCAUUUAAAGUGGUACGCGAGCUGGGUUUAGAACGUCGUGAGACAGUUCGGUCCCUAUCUGCCGUGGGCGCUGGAGAACUGAGGGGGGCUGCUCCUAGUACGAGAGGACCGGAGUGGACGCAUCACUGGUGUUCGGGUUGUCAUGCCAAUGGCACUGCCCGGUAGCUAAAUGCGGAAGAGAUAAGUGCUGAAAGCAUCUAAGCACGAAACUUGCCCCGAGAUGAGUUCUCCCUGACCCUUUAAGGGUCCUGAAGGAACGUUGAAGACGACGACGUUGAUAGGCCGGGUGUGUAAGCGCAGCGAUGCGUUGAGCUAACCGGUACUAAUGAACCGUGAGGCUUAACCUU
This 2904-nucleotide ribosomal RNA is filed under the name Escherichia coli. RNAcentral describes it as "23S ribosomal RNA". It matches the Rfam family "Bacterial large subunit ribosomal RNA". Lineage: Bacteria; Pseudomonadati; Pseudomonadota; Gammaproteobacteria; Enterobacterales; Enterobacteriaceae. RNAcentral also lists the same sequence under 1 other name. The record is from RNAcentral.